AAUGAACGUUGGCGGCGUGGAUUAGGCAUGCAAGUCGCGCGACAAGCUUCCCUUCGGGGAGGUGGAGGAGCGGCGAAAGGGAGAGUAACGCGUGGAUCACCUACCCCCAGGUUCGGGAUAAUGGCCGAAAGCCAGGUAAUACCGAAUAAUAUUUCCGAAUCAAAGCUUCGGCGCCUGAGGACGGGUCCGCGUCCUAUUAGCUUGUUGGUGAGGUAACGGCUCACCAAGGCUUAGAUGGGUACCGGGUGUGAGAGCAUGGCCCGGCUCACUGGGACUGAGACACUGCCCAGACACCUACGGGUGGCUGCAGUCGAGAAUCUUCGGCAAUGGACGCAAGUCUGACCGAGCGACGCCGCGUGCGGGAUGAAGGCCUUCGGGUUGUAAACCGCUGUCAGAGAGGCGGAAAGCACUUCGGUGUUUGACCUAUUCUCAGAGGAAGUACGGGCUAAGUUCGUG
RNAcentral lists this ribosomal RNA (456 nucleotides) under uncultured bacterium. RNAcentral describes it as "bacterial SSU rRNA". It matches the Rfam family "Bacterial small subunit ribosomal RNA", at positions 29 to 507 of the family's 1533-position model. The record is from RNAcentral.